This 255-nucleotide ribosomal RNA is filed under the name uncultured bacterium. Its description in RNAcentral is "partial 16S ribosomal RNA". It matches the Rfam family "Bacterial small subunit ribosomal RNA", at positions 524 to 776 of the family's 1533-position model. The record is from RNAcentral.
UACGUAGGGGGCAAGCGUUGUCCGGAAUCAUUGGGCGUAAAGCGCGUGUAGGCGGUUCAGUAAGUCUGCUGUGAAAGUCCAGGGCUCAACCCUGGGAUGCCGGUGGAUACUGCUGGGCUAGAGUACGGAAGAGGCGAGUGGAAUUCCCGGUGUAGCGGUGAAAAUGCGCAGAUAUCGGGAGGAACACCUAUUGCGAAGGCAGCUCGCUGGGACGUUACUGACGCUGGAGACGCGAAAGCGUGGGGAGCAAACAGG